RNAcentral lists this unclassified non-coding RNA (864 nucleotides) under Homo sapiens (human). RNAcentral's name for it is "multiple EGF like domains 11 (ENSG00000277848.4)". The record is from RNAcentral. Lineage: Eukaryota; Metazoa; Chordata; Mammalia; Primates; Hominidae.
UGCUUUUCCAUCUUCCAGUGUGUGACAUCCUUUGUCUCCUAUUCCUCUUUUCUUUGGAGCAGUGUGUGCCCAGCCCUGCCCACCAGGGACAUUUGGCCAGAACUGCAGCCAGGAUUGUCCUUGCCACCAUGGAGGGCAGUGUGACCACGUGACUGGACAGUGCCACUGUACAGCUGGAUACAUGGGGGACAGGUGCCAAGAGGAGUGCCCCUUCGGGUCCUUCGGCUUCCAGUGCUCACAGCACUGUGACUGCCACAAUGGGGGGCAGUGUUCACCCACCACGGGUGCCUGCGAGUGUGAGCCUGGCUACAAGGGCCCACGCUGCCAGGAGCGACUGUGCCCGGAGGGCCUGCAUGGCCCAGGCUGCACCCUGCCCUGCCCCUGUGACGCUGACAACACCAUCAGCUGCCACCCAGUAACUGGAGCUUGUACCUGCCAGCCAGGCUGGUCUGGUCACCACUGCAAUGAAUCCUGCCCUGUUGGCUACUAUGGCGAUGGCUGCCAGCUGCCUUGCACCUGUCAGAAUGGCGCCGACUGCCACAGCAUCACUGGGGGCUGCACUUGUGCUCCGGGCUUCAUGGGAGAGGUCUGUGCCGUUUCCUGUGCAGCAGGGACCUAUGGCCCCAACUGCUCGUCCAUCUGUAGCUGUAACAAUGGUGGCACCUGCUCCCCAGUAGAUGGCUCCUGUACCUGCAAGGAAGGGUGGCAGGGCCUGGACUGCACCCUGCCAUGUCCCAGUGGGACGUGGGGCCUGAACUGCAACGAGAGCUGCACCUGUGCCAAUGGGGCAGCCUGCAGCCCCAUAGACGGCUCCUGCUCCUGCACUCCUGGCUGGCUGGGAGACACCUGUGAGCUGCCUUGCCC